RNAcentral lists this small RNA (755 nucleotides) under Pan troglodytes (chimpanzee). Its description in RNAcentral is "retained intron". Lineage: Eukaryota; Metazoa; Chordata; Mammalia; Primates; Hominidae. The record is from RNAcentral.
UCCCAUGGAGAAAUAAAUCUCUAUUUGUCUGAGGAUUUAGCAACUCUAAACACAUUGUCUAAAACUUGAUAGCUCUCCAGGAUUAUAUUUAGGUAAUUUGAGUAAAAAAAGUGACUGCUCUUUUGAGUAUAUGCAUUUUCAAUUUACAGAUAUUAACUGAGAUGCUCAUUAUAUUGAUAAUAGAUAACUUGGAAAGGAAAAGAAGAAAAGGAUGCCACAGCUCAGGAAGAAUUUCUAGAUUUUGGUGCCUAUCAAAUCUCUUCUCUGCAUAGAUGGAGCUAGUGUCUGGAUAAUGUUAAUUGGUUUUAAGAUCCAAAUGUAACACUACAUUAGGUCAUAUUUCUUAGCCAUGAGUAUUUGGAUUAAAAAUGUUUCACACGAAAUAUGCAUAUACAUAGAUUCAAUAAUCUAUAAAUACCAGUUUACCUGCCUAAGUUUUUAAAAAGUUGCAGUAGAAAACAAGAAUAGAAUAGACAAGUUACCAAGUUAAUUUAACAGGCAACUCCAUCUUUUCUUUUCAGUUUAGAGAUGAAAUAGAGUUUAUGUGGCGAUUUGCUCGUGCUUAUGGAGACAUGUAUGAACUAUCUACAAACACACAAGAAAAGAAACAUUAUGCUAAUAUUGGAAAAACUUUAAGUGAAAGAGCUAUUAAUAGAGCACCCAUGAAUGGACAUUGUCAUCUGUGGUAUGCAGUUUUGUGUGGCUAUGUAUCUGAGUUUGAGGGUUUACAAAACAAAAUCAACUAUGGGCACCUC